ACCCUUGCUAAAGGGCACCACUUUUUAAAUAUAUACUUUUUUUUUUUACCCUAUUUUCUCCCCAAUUUCGUGGUAUCCAUUGUUUAGUAGCUACUAUCUUGUCUCAUUGCUACAACUCCCGUACGGGCUCAGGAGAGAUGAAGGUUGAAAGUCUUACACAACCCAACCAAGCCGCACUGCUUCUUAACACAGCGUGCAUCCAACCCGGAAGCACCAAUGUGUCAGAGGAAACACCGUGCACCUGCCAGCCUUGGUUAGCGUGCACUGCACCCGGCCCUCCACAGGAGUCGCUGGUGCGUGAUGAGACAAGUAUAUCCCUACCAGCCAACUCAUUAUCUCCAACACCAUACUAGUGUCUGCGUAUGUGAAAAUGGCACAUUUCUAAAUGUUGUAGCAAAAAGAGUUAAACAAUAAAAUGUGGAAAACACACCAUUUUCAUUUUCAUUCAACUCUAAAACUGUACAAUAAAGUCUUCUCCCUCUUCUAGGCAUAAUGAAGGAUGAUGAGAUCCAGAAUUAUGGCGGUGACACCAUAAGCUGCUCUCUGGCUCCGGUGCAGCGUCUGGAGGCCCUGCUGGCUCAGGGGAAUGGCAACGAUGUGUCCCUCAGGGUUCAGAGUCCAGGGCCUUCAGCAGGGUCACCCAGUACAUGACUCAGAACCUGGCCAGCUCCUCUGGACACGCAGUGGAAAGGUACCAGUAUGCCCUUCAGACUGGAGAAGUGGCCCUGAGGGAACCUGUCCUGGAACCUGUCCUCCGUACUGCAGAGUGGGGAGUGGACCACCGUCAGCAUCGACCUGCUCAUGACCCUGCUGCAGCGUUUAGACCUCAUCUUGCAGCCAAUCAGCCAGCCAGCCAACCAACCAACCAACCACAUCAUGUCUGCAACCAACCAACCAGCCAACCAGCCAGCCAGCCAGCCAACCAACCAACCACAUCAUGUCGGCAACCAACCAACCAACCAGCCAACCAGCCAACCAGCCAACCAACCAACCACAUCAUGUCUGCAACCAAACAACCAGCCAGCCAGCCAGCCAACCAACCAACCACAUCAUGUCUGCAACCAACCAACCACAUCAUGUCUGCAACCAACCAACCAACCAGCCAGCCAGCCAACCAACCAACCACAUCAUGUCUGCAACCAACCAACCACAUCAUGUCUGCAACCAACCAACCACAUCAUGUCUGCAACCAACCAACCACAUCAUGUCUGCAACCAACCAACCAGCCAGCCAGCCAACCAACCAACCAACCAACCAACCAGCCAGCCUGCCAACCAACCACAUCAUGUCUGCAACCAACCAACCAACCAGCCAACCAACCAACCAGCCAGCCUGCCAACCAACCAGCCAACCAACCAUCCAACCAGCCAGCCUGCCAACCAACCAUCCAACCAGCCAGCCAGCCAGCCUGCCAACCAACCAACCAACCAACCAACCAGCCAACCAGCAUGUCUGCAAUGUAUAGAAUAAAUGGAUAGCAGACCAUACCUGUUUGAUAACAUUUUGUACAGUAUGUAUAUUCAAGAUCAAUAUGUCGUUACAAGCUUUGCUUUAGCGAUGUUUUAAAAGCUAUUUCUCUGUGCUAUUAUACCCAAGACAUUCACCUCAAAGGGUCACUCGUCUCACCCAUGUAGCAUACCUAGGCAUACAAACCAAAGUACUAGAAACCAUGUUGAAAGCGAAAUUGAUUGAAUGCAUUUAGUUCAUUUGUACAAUAAAUAACACAAAGGUUAUACAAAUCGUGAUUAGAUUCAUGGUCCUAUUGCUUUUUAAAAUUCAU
Molecule: long non-coding RNA, 1780 nt
Organism: Oncorhynchus tshawytscha (Chinook salmon)
Lineage: Eukaryota; Metazoa; Chordata; Actinopteri; Salmoniformes; Salmonidae
Source: Ensembl